This 264-nucleotide RNase P RNA is filed under the name Atopobium sp. RNAcentral's name for it is "partial RNase P RNA component class A". It matches the Rfam family "Bacterial RNase P class A", at positions 1 to 248 of the family's 367-position model. From Rfam's summary of the family: Ribonuclease P (RNase P) is a ubiquitous endoribonuclease, found in archaea, bacteria and eukarya as well as chloroplasts and mitochondria. Its best characterised activity is the generation of mature 5'-ends of tRNAs by cleaving the 5'-leader elements of precursor-tRNAs. Lineage: Bacteria; Bacillati; Actinomycetota; Coriobacteriia; Coriobacteriales; Atopobiaceae. The record is from RNAcentral.
AAAGUGGACCAGACAACCGCGGAGUACCCGUCCAGCUAAGUGGAAGGGUGCUAUGAGGAAAGUCCGGGCUCCACAGGGCAGGAUGCUGGCUAACGGCCAGGCGGGGUGACCCGACGGAAAGUGCCGCAGAAAAGAAGACUCUCACCUGCGCAUUCGCGUAAAGAGAAAAGCUGAAACGGUAGUGUAAGAGACUACCAGCAUGCUGGCAACAGCGUGGCUUGGUAAACCCCAUCCGGAGCAAACGCAAAUAGGAGCGCUAUGGUG